Molecule: long non-coding RNA, 218 nt
Filed under: Elaeis guineensis (African oil palm)
Lineage: Eukaryota; Viridiplantae; Streptophyta; Magnoliopsida; Arecales; Arecaceae
Description: long non-coding RNA (EGUI_LNC033106)
Source: RNAcentral
CAACAGAAAGUAGUACAACAUCAUCGAACCUCAACAGAUUGAUCCAUGACUUACAUCUUAUUGAGACUAAGUUCAACUAAUUGAAUGUACUUGGUCUAACCACAGAGAUAAUCCCACCCUGUUUAAGCUUGAGAAAUGUUUAAUAUUAAUGGAUUGGGUUACAGCUUUCCCUACUACAUCCUACGACCUCUAGCAAAGACAACCUCUGAUCAUCGCCC